RNAcentral lists this unclassified non-coding RNA (484 nucleotides) under uncultured Glomus. RNAcentral's name for it is "SSU rRNA". It matches the Rfam family "Eukaryotic small subunit ribosomal RNA", at positions 569 to 1051 of the family's 1831-position model. Lineage: Eukaryota; Fungi; Glomeromycota; Glomeromycetes; Glomerales; Glomeraceae. The record is from RNAcentral.
AGCAGCCGCGGUAAUUCCAGCUCCAAUAGCGUAUAUUAAAGUUGUUGCAGUUAAAAAGCUCGUAGUUGAAUUUCGGGAUUGACGUGAUGGUCGUGCCUUACGGGGUAUGAACUGUUGCUGUUGAUUUCUCACCUUCUGGAGAAACUUGAUGUCCUUAAUUGGGUGUCUUGCGGAUCCAGGACCUUUACCUUGAAAAAAUUAGAGUGUUUAAAGCAGGCAUUUUGCUCGAAUACAUUAGCAUGGAAUAAUAGAAUAGGACGGCAUGGUUCUAUUUUGUUGGUUUCUAGGAUCACCGUAAUGAUUAAUAGGGAUAGUUGGGGGCAUUAGUAUUCAAUUGUCAGAGGUGAAAUUCUUGGAUUUAUUGAAGACUAACUACUGCGAAAGCAUUUGCCAAGGAUGUUUUCAUUAAUCAAGAACGAAAGUUAGGGGAUCGAAGACGAUCAGAUACCGUCGUAGUCUUAACCAUAAACUAUGCCGACUAGGA